Long non-coding RNA from Xiphophorus hellerii (green swordtail), 145 nucleotides. RefSeq lists it as uncharacterized. The record is from RefSeq and is a predicted model, not a curated record. The transcript is spliced from 2 exons. NCBI's taxonomy places the organism in Eukaryota, Metazoa, Chordata, Actinopteri, Cyprinodontiformes, Poeciliidae.
AGGACACUAGACCAUGCACACUCACACCUAGGGAGAAUUUAGAGAGACCAAUUAACCUGACAGGAGAACUGUGCAAGGCAACAGUGCUACCAACUGCACAACUGUGCAGUAGGUAGCAUAAAGACAGAAUGAAGUAGUUGAUCAU